This 946-nucleotide ribosomal RNA is filed under the name Streptomyces erythrochromogenes. RNAcentral describes it as "bacterial SSU rRNA". It matches the Rfam family "Bacterial small subunit ribosomal RNA", at positions 56 to 1018 of the family's 1533-position model. The record is from RNAcentral. Lineage: Bacteria; Bacillati; Actinomycetota; Actinomycetes; Kitasatosporales; Streptomycetaceae.
UGCAGUCGAACGAUGAAGCCCUUCGGGGUGGAUUAGUGGCGAACGGGUGAGUAACACGUGGGCAAUCUGCCCUUCACUCUGGGACAAGCCCUGGAAACGGGGUCUAAUACCGGAUACGACUGCGGAAGGCAUCUUCUGCGGUGGAAAGCUCCGGCGGUGAAGGAUGAGCCCGCGGCCUAUCAGCUUGUUGGUGGGGUAAUGGCCUACCAAGGCGACGACGGGUAGCCGGCCUGAGAGGGCGACCGGCCACACUGGGACUGAGACACGGCCCAGACUCCUACGGGAGGCAGCAGUGGGGAAUAUUGCACAAUGGGCGAAAGCCUGAUGCAGCGACGCCGCGUGAGGGAUGACGGCCUUCGGGUUGUAAACCUCUUUCAGCAGGGAAGAAGCGAAAGUGACGGUACCUGCAGAAGAAGCGCCGGCUAACUACGUGCCAGCAGCCGCGGUAAUACGUAGGGCGCAAGCGUUGUCCGGAAUUAUUGGGCGUAAAGAGCUCGUAGGCGGCUUGUCACGUCGGAUGUGAAAGCCCGAGGCUUAACCUCGGGUCUGCAUUCGAUACGGGCUAGCUAGAGUGUGGUAGGGGAGAUCGGAAUUCCUGGUGUAGCGGUGAAAUGCGCAGAUAUCAGGAGGAACACCGGUGGCGAAGGCGGAUCUCUGGGCCAUUACUGACGCUGAGGAGCGAAAGCGUGGGGAGCGAACAGGAUUAGAUACCCUGGUAGUCCACGCCGUAAACGUUGGGAACUAGGUGUUGGCGACAUUCCACGUCGUCGGUGCCGCAGCUAACGCAUUAAGUUCCCCGCCUGGGGAGUACGGCCGCAAGGCUAAAACUCAAGGAAUUGACGGGGGCCCGCACAAGCGGCGGAGCAUGUGGCUUAAUUCGACGCAACGCGAAGAACCUUACCAGGCUUGACAUAUACCGGAAAGCAUUAGAAGAUAGUGCCCCCUU